AUACGUAGGGUGCGAGCGUUAAUCGGAAUUACUGGGCGUAAAGCGUGCGCAGGCGGUUUUGUAAGACAGUGGUGAAAUCCCCGGGCUCCACCUGGGAACUGCCAUUGUGACUGCAAGGCUGGAGUGUGGCAGAGGGGGGUGGAAUUCCGCGUGUAGGAGUGGAAUGCGUAGAUAUGCGGAGGAACACCGAUGGCGAAGGCAAUCCCCUGGGCCUGCACUGACGCUCAUGCACGAAAGCGUGGGGAGCAAACAGGAUUAGAUACCCUGGUAGUCCACGCCCUAAACGAUGUCAACUGGUUGUUGGGAAUUUAUUUUCUCAGUAACGAAGCUAACGCGUGAAGUUGACCGCCUGGGGAGUACGGCCGCAAGGUUAAAACUUAAAGGAAUUGACGGGG
This 395-nucleotide ribosomal RNA is filed under the name uncultured bacterium. RNAcentral describes it as "partial 16S ribosomal RNA". It matches the Rfam family "Bacterial small subunit ribosomal RNA", at positions 523 to 918 of the family's 1533-position model. The record is from RNAcentral.